This 595-nucleotide ribosomal RNA is filed under the name uncultured Bacteroidota bacterium. Its description in RNAcentral is "bacterial SSU rRNA". It matches the Rfam family "Bacterial small subunit ribosomal RNA", at positions 122 to 715 of the family's 1533-position model. Lineage: Bacteria; Pseudomonadati; Bacteroidota. The record is from RNAcentral.
CAACCUGCCGUCUACUCUUGGACAGCCUUCUGAAAGGAAGAUUAAUACAAGAUGGCAUCAUGAGUCCGCAUGUUCACAUGAUUAAAGGUAUUCCGGUAGACGAUGGGGAUGCGUUCCAUUAGAUAGUAGGCGGGGUAACGGCCCACCUAGUCUUCGAUGGAUAGGGGUUCUGAGAGGAAGGUCCCCCACAUUGGAACUGAGACACGGUCCAAACUCCUACGGGAGGCAGCAGUGAGGAAUAUUGGUCAAUGGGCGAGAGCCUGAACCAGCCAAGUAGCGUGAAGGAUGACUGCCCUAUGGGUUGUAAACUUCUUUUAUAAAGGAAUAAAGUCGGGUAUGGAUACCCGUUUGCAUGUACUUUAUGAAUAAGGAUCGGCUAACUCCGUGCCAGCAGCCGCGGUAAUACGGAGGAUCCGAGCGUUAUCCGGAUUUAUUGGGUUUAAAGGGAGCGUAGAUGGAUGUUUAAGUCAGUUGUGAAAGUUUGCGGCUCAACCGUGAAAUUGCAGUUGAUACUGGAUGUCUUGAGUGCAGUUGAGGCAGGCGGAAUUCGUGGUGUAGCGGUGAAAUGCUUAGAUAUCACGAAGAACUCCGAUUG